GUAAGGAAUAUUGGUCAAUGGGCGCAAGCCUGAACCAGCCAUGCCGCGUGCAGGAAGACGGCCCUAUGGGUUGUAAACUGCUUUUGUCAGGGAAUAAACCCCCGCUCGUGAGCGGGGCUGAAGGUACCUGAAGAAUAAGCAUCGGCUAACUCCGUGCCAGCAGCCGCGGUAAUACGGAGGAUGCAAGCGUUAUCCGGAUUCAUUGGGUUUAAAGGGUGCGCAGGCGGAUUGGUAAGUCAGGGGUGAAAUCCCACAGCUCAACUGUGGAACUGCCUUUGAUACUGUCAGUCUAGAGUAUAGUUGAAGUUGGCGGAAUGUGUCAUGUAGCGGUGAAAUGCUUAGAUAUGACACAGAACACCGAUCGCGAAGGCAGCUAGCUAAGCUAUAACUGACGCUCAUGCACGAAAGCGUGGGGAUCAAACAGGAUUAGAUACCCGGGUAGUCC
Molecule: ribosomal RNA, 445 nt
Filed under: uncultured bacterium
Lineage: Bacteria
Description: partial 16S ribosomal RNA
Rfam family: Bacterial small subunit ribosomal RNA
Source: RNAcentral